Molecule: long non-coding RNA, 204 nt
Filed under: Lathyrus oleraceus (garden pea)
Lineage: Eukaryota; Viridiplantae; Streptophyta; Magnoliopsida; Fabales; Fabaceae
Description: Pisum sativum (pea) long non-coding RNA (PSAT_LNC024980)
Source: RNAcentral
UUAAAAAUAACCAGAAAAGAGAAAAUUCACAAAAAAUAGAAAAUGACAAAAUAAAAAAUAUUAAAAAUCAGAAAUAGAAACUAGAAAUUAUUUGGAGACAAAUGCAAUUGGUCCCAUAAUUUUUGGAUUAAAAUUAAAAGAGAUAUGGAUUUUAGAAAAUGAAAUGUAAUUAAAAAUGAAAUAGAAAAUAAAAUCAGAAUUAAA